UGUAAGCGUAUACCAAAGUUGUUGCAGUUAAAACGCUCGUAGUCGGAAUUUGGCAGUUCCGGAUGUGUGCACGUCGUGUGCGCACUUCGCGGGGAUUGCUUUUGUGGUCUUGCGUAGGAUGAGGCACUUUUAUUAGUGAACGUCCUCACGCAACCACUUUUUACUGUGAGAAAAUCAGAGUGCUCAAAGCAGGCAUUUGCCGUGAAUGUAUUAGCAUGGAAUAAUAGAAUAGGACUUGGUUCUAUUUUGUUGGUUUGUUGGGACUGAGUAAUGAUUAAGAGGGACAGUUGGGGGCAUUUGUAUUUCGGUGCUAGAGGUGAAAUUCUUAGAUUACCGAAAGACAAACUGCUGUGAAAGCGUCUGCCAAGGAUGUUUUCAUUGA
RNAcentral lists this ribosomal RNA (382 nucleotides) under uncultured eukaryote. RNAcentral describes it as "partial 18S ribosomal RNA". It matches the Rfam family "Eukaryotic small subunit ribosomal RNA", at positions 592 to 976 of the family's 1831-position model. The record is from RNAcentral.